CCCCUCCCAUUGUCCCGGCCCGCGGCCUGCCGCGGCCCGCUCCGCCCGGCCCGCGCCCUCCCCGUGCCCGGUCCCCGCUGCUGGCCCUUACCUUGCAGCGGCCGGCUCUUUCCCGCCGCUAAUGCUACUUAUCCCGGGAAAGCUCGGAGCAGGGCCCGGGAGCGAACCCACAGACAAAAAGUGAAACUUCGGCAGGCCGGGAGCGGCUGCUGGUUGGUGCUCUCCCCCUCCUUCCUCCCCACCCCCCUCCCCGCGGUCUCCCGUGCGGUGCCCUGAGCGCUGGAGGCUGACGUCAGGGGCCUGAAUUCCUGACUUUGCCUGCACGCAUUUGUCCAUGUAAGCCUGUCCCUACACAAAAGAAAUGCCUCACCUCAGCCCACACUAACAACAACCUCAGCACACCCUAAUGGCUUCCCUACCUGUUGCUGCCAUCUCAGAAAUGCUGCUAAUUAUGUUGAAACUGUUCUGCGUGUUGGGGAAGAUCACUGUGCCGCUUCUCCUGAAAUACUCAGGUAGGCAUGGUGCUGCUGGCAAGAGCACUAUAGAAAGUUAGUCACAAAAGGUAAUUGCAACUCAUGAGGCACUCCCCAGGAGUGUAAGUGACAAAGUCAUAAAUUGGAUGUUUGGUGAACCACAUACCGGGCCAUCAGGAGUCCUAGCCCAAACCAGAAGCCUCAUUGUGCUCUGUUGUUCCGCUUUCUUUUGU
This 706-nucleotide long non-coding RNA is filed under the name Cricetulus griseus (Chinese hamster). RNAcentral's name for it is "lncRNA (ENSCGRG00015025000.2)". The record is from RNAcentral. Lineage: Eukaryota; Metazoa; Chordata; Mammalia; Rodentia; Cricetidae.